RNAcentral lists this unclassified non-coding RNA (211 nucleotides) under Borreliella garinii. RNAcentral describes it as "partial 5S-23S ribosomal RNA intergenic spacer". The record is from RNAcentral. Lineage: Bacteria; Pseudomonadati; Spirochaetota; Spirochaetia; Spirochaetales; Borreliaceae.
CUGCGAGUUCGCGGGAGAGUAAGUUAUUGCCAGGGUUUUUAUUUUAUACUUUAAACAUUGAUUUUAUUUUUUAUGUUUUUAGAUGUUCAUGUUUUUGAAUGUUUUAUUUAAAUAAUAUAAAAAAUAAAAUAUAUAUUGACAUGGAUUAAACAAAGAUAUAUAUUAUUCUAUGUUGCAUAAGCAAAUUGGCAAAAUAGAGAUGGAAGAUAAA